AAGAGGAAGAAAAUUAGCACCAUGAUCAUGGUAAAGUAGAGGAUGGUAGUGGUGAUGAUCUGCAGCUUGGAGAAGUAGUGCAAGUCGUAAACAAACAGGUUGACUGCCAUGAAUAGCCUGAUCAGGAAGGAAUGCCACCACCAGUGAGUCCUAUACAAAACAUAAGACACUCUUUAGGUUCGGCUCAAUACAUUUUUUUACACUGUAGUGACAUCUAAGUGCUUGGAUCUAUGAGCAGAGAUAAAUUAAGUCAUAUGAGAAAGAAACAUUUGCAUCAUUUAGAAUGUUUUCAUGAAACUAAAAUAGAUUUACUGUUGACACAAAGACUUCACUUUUGGUAGCUAAACAUAAUGGCACAGAUAAUCUGGCAAACUGGAAACGUUAAGAAUCUGUUUUACAAAUAUUACAUAAUGCAUUUACAUACAAAGAGAGAGAGAUGGCACAGUAUACCAUUAUUGUGAUGCCAGAUCCAUGUAUGCAUGGCUCCACCCACCUCUGCACAUGAGAGGAAGUAGCACAACAGGAUGACGGCCUUGGAGCAGGUGAUGAGAAAAAUGAUGAACACCAGGAACAGGAACCCAAACAUGUAGUACAUCUGACUUGACCCUUGUUCUUACCAGAUGCUGUUGAUGAAGAAGAGCUGGAUAAAGAUGCAGCCGAAGGGCUGGAUUCCGCCAAUGACGAUUCCGGGCAUGGCCUUGAUGAAGACGGAAUGUUUAUAGAUCUGCCGAGUGAUCUUGUUGGUUCGCAAUGGCUGCUCAAUCGCCUGUAUCACAGAGAAUAGUAUACUUUGAAGAAUCUCAAAUAUAAAAUAUAUUUUGAUUUGUUUAACACAUUUUUGGUUACUACAUGAUUCCAUAUGAGUUAGUUCAUAGUUUUGAUGUCUUCACUAUUAUUAUACAAUGUAGACAAUAGUAGAAAUAAAGAAAAACCCUGGAAUGAG
Molecule: long non-coding RNA, 943 nt
Organism: Oncorhynchus nerka (sockeye salmon)
Lineage: Eukaryota; Metazoa; Chordata; Actinopteri; Salmoniformes; Salmonidae
Exons: 2
Source: RefSeq, a predicted model, not a curated record